AUUGAACGCUGGCGGCAGGCCUAACACAUGCAAGUCGAACGAGUGGCGGACGGGUGAGUAAUGUCUGGGAAACUGCCUGAUGGCGGGGGAUACCUACUGGAAACGGUAGCUAAUACCGCAUACUAUCAGAUGUGCACAGAUGGGAUUAGCUUGUUGGUGGGGUAACGGCUCACCAAGGCGACGAUCCCUAGCUGGUCUGAGAGGAUGACCAGCAACACUGGAACUGAGACACGGUCCAGAGUCCGAGGGGAGGCAGCAGUGGGGAAUAUGGCACAAUGGGCGCAAGCCUGAUGCAGCCAUGACGCGUGUAUGAAGAAGGCCUUCGGGUUGUAAAGUACUGUCAGCGGGGAAGCGUUACCCGCAGAAGAAGCACCGGCUAACUCCGUGCCAGCAGCCGCGGUAAUUC
RNAcentral lists this ribosomal RNA (406 nucleotides) under uncultured bacterium. RNAcentral describes it as "partial 16S ribosomal RNA". It matches the Rfam family "Bacterial small subunit ribosomal RNA", at positions 30 to 526 of the family's 1533-position model. The record is from RNAcentral.